AGUGCUCAGCAGGGCGAGGACAGGACAGAACGGGCCCCAUCACAGACUGCGCUUAGAAGGAACUCAGUAAAACAAAGACCAUUUUCUUCUGGAGGCAACUCAAGGAGGUAAGACUGUGAGUCAAGCGCCUUGGAGGAUAAGAAGUCCAGAUUUCCAGCAUCACUGGUACUCAAUAUUGAAGGAAUGAAAAUACGUGAGGAAUAAAAGAAUGAAGAAAGUGACCUCUACCGCAAGGACACAGGCCCUGAAGGCUGAGACUGUGAAGGGGGCAGGCAAAGAUCCACGCCCAGACAGGCCACCCCUGCUCUCCUGGGAAAGGGGCCGAGAGCCAGAGAGUUCGGGGCAGAGAGAGCCUGAGUGCGAGGCCCAGGCCAGGGCCUUUACCAGCAAAGACCGGCCCCUCUGCCUGCGCCCUGAGGUCAUGGAGAAA
RNAcentral lists this long non-coding RNA (430 nucleotides) under Homo sapiens (human). Its description in RNAcentral is "non-protein coding lnc-SOX8-2:3". The record is from RNAcentral. Lineage: Eukaryota; Metazoa; Chordata; Mammalia; Primates; Hominidae.